UUAUAUUAUUGUUGUUGGUUUUCCAACUACGACGAUAAACGAAUUUCGUAAUAAACAUUGCGGACGUGGGGGCAGUACCCACCACCUCCACCAUUUUCAACUUACGGGGGGGAAUUAGGAUCGACGAGUGUCUAAAAGCUAUUCUUUCGUUCGGUAUUGUUCCACCGCAAAGGACAGUUUUAUAAAUGCAAAUAAUAAAUUUGCACUUGCAGCUUAAUUAUUUAUUUAAUUAGGUUACGGGGUUUGGGGCACCUGGCAACAGAACGCCCCCUUA
Molecule: transfer-messenger RNA, 274 nt
Filed under: Candidatus Pelagibacter sp.
Lineage: Bacteria; Pseudomonadati; Pseudomonadota; Alphaproteobacteria; Candidatus Pelagibacterales; Candidatus Pelagibacteraceae
Rfam family: Alphaproteobacteria transfer-messenger RNA
About the family: Bacterial tmRNA, also known as 10Sa RNA or SsrA, is named for its dual tRNA and mRNA-like properties. Its role is to liberate the mRNA from a stalled ribosome. To accomplish this part of the tmRNA is used as a reading frame that ends in a translation stop signal.
Source: RNAcentral